GCUCAGGACGAACGCUGGCGGCGUGCUUAACACAUGCAAGUCGAACGGAAAGGCUCCAGCUUGCUGGAGUACUCGAGUGGCGAACGGGUGAGUAACACGUGGGCAAUCUGCCCUGCACUCUGGGAUAAGCCUGGGAAACUGGGUCUAAUACUGGAUAGGACCUUUCUCCUCAUGGGGUUUGGUGGAAAGUUUUUCGGUGCAGGAUGAGCCCGCGGCCUAUCAGCUUGUUGGUGGGGUAAUGGCCUACCAAGGCGACGACGGGUAGCCGGCCUGAGAGGGUGAUCGGCCACAUUGGGACUGAGAUACGGCCCAGACUCCUACGGGAGGCAGCAGUA
This 335-nucleotide ribosomal RNA is filed under the name uncultured bacterium. Its description in RNAcentral is "bacterial SSU rRNA". It matches the Rfam family "Bacterial small subunit ribosomal RNA", at positions 22 to 356 of the family's 1533-position model. The record is from RNAcentral.